GAUGAAGAACGUAGCGAAAUGCGAUACGUAGUGUGAAUUGCAGAAUUCAGUGAAUCAUCGAAUCUUUGAACGCACAUUGCACCUCUCGGUAUUCCGGGAGGUAUGCCUGUUCGAGCGUCAUUUGUACCCUCAAGCUCUGCUUGGUGUUGGGUGUUUGUUCCGCCUCUGUGUGUGAACUCGCCUCAAAACAAUUGGCAGCCGGCGUACUUGAUUCGGAGCGCAGCACAUUUUGCGAUCCAGAUCAACGUACAGCGGCAUCCAAGAAGCCUUAUUUAACGCUCUUGACCUCGGAUCAGGUAGGGAUACCCGCUGAACUUAAGCAUAUCAAUAAGCGGAGGA
This 339-nucleotide unclassified non-coding RNA is filed under the name soil metagenome. RNAcentral's name for it is "partial contains 5.8S ribosomal RNA, internal transcribed spacer 2, and large subunit ribosomal RNA". The stretch from base 1 to 120 matches the Rfam family "5.8S ribosomal RNA", at positions 35 to 154 of the family's 154-position model. The record is from RNAcentral.